AUGGCAUUGCUUCCGGUUUGCUCAGCUUUUGAAUGGCAUGUGGGAGAGAAAGGAAAGAAGCACACCCUUCAUCAUGGUGAUUCAUCCAGCUGGUUGGUGCCUGCCUCUGCUCCUAUCAAUCAAUCAUUGAUCAGCAGCCGACAUGCCUGGUUGUGCCAAGUAGGACACGAGGGACCGGGUUUCUUCUGUCCUGUGUGCUCAUCUGGAAACACAAGAACAAUAGUUUUCGUGCCCUGUUCCUGGGUGAAACUUCAUGCUGAGUUGUGAGCAUGAGAGAAAGAGAGAUGCCCAUCAGCGCAUCUCACAUCUCAAACAGCCCAAAUCAGGGUACUGUCCCAACAUGCAGGAAUUGUAAUCAUGCUUUCUAUAAAUAUUGCCCGUCUUGGCAAGAUGUGUGGAUCCUUUAAUGUGUAGACCCACCCCAAUGGCAAGUCAUGCCAAGAAGAUUAUUGGAUUCACAUGAAAAACAUAAUUAACACCAAAAAAUGGCUUGGGGAGAAAAAGGGAGAGAGAGAAUCAGGCAGUGUUUUAGGCACACAUAUUUGGAAGUAAAUUCUAUUUACUAUAGUUGAAUGCUCCCAAUGUUUAGAAAGAAGAGAAGGACUGAUGCAAAGAGAAGAAAAUAAACUUUCCCCAACUUGAUUUUUGCACGAGAGAUGAUUAAUGAAAGAGAGUAUUUUGUGUCAAAAAUUAAAAGUAUAGAACAGGGAUAGCUGUUUACUUGGCUUGAAGGGAAAUAAGCCCAAAGAAGAUGACAUGUUCCAAAUGAGUUAAAGAUGGUUUUGCACUGAAAACACUGAGCCUUUGGAACUGAUUACUCCAGGAUAUGAGCAAUGGUAGAAACCAAAACAUAAUAAUAAUAACAAUACUUGGAUAAUGGUAACAGGUACUCAUAAAAAUAUAGGAGACCCCAGAGAACAUCAUCUGAUACUAAUACAUCUCAACAUUUACGUAUGUCAAAUAUAACACUCCUGUUGAAAUUUGGAUGAGAUAGGGACCCCUAACUCUUUUAUUAAUCUGAUGACAGACUGUAGGGGCUACUACAAUUUACAGAGUGAAGCUGAGGAGUGAGAAAAGUCUCCCAGUGAGUUGCUUGGGCUUGAAAUGAGAAGCACUUAUUAGUAUUGUUAGUUGAAGCAUCUAUGCCCCAGCGUGGUAGGCUGUCUGAUAUAAUAUAACGAAUUGCAUGACCUGCGCAGUUUCUUUAGUCUGGUUGAUAAUUCCUGCAUCAUAACAGAGUUUCCAGGGCAAAAUGGGCACUAAUUCUGGAGCAUACAUUCUCCGUCAAGGGAUUUUAUAAUGAAUAUUAAUACUGGAAAAGCUCCCCUCUCCAGUGAGGUUAUAAGACAUAUUUAAGAAGUAGGGAGGAGAGAGAGACCAGAGAGGAAAAAUAUGCGAAAACAUCCUGACAAGUGGCAUUACUAGGGUUAGAACAAGGAAUGGAGGUAGCCCCUGAUGACUGGAAAACCCAACAAGCAACCUGAUGAUUUCUUUUUCCCAGAGUAGACCUGUCAAAAGUCAGUCAGGUGCCAUGUGAGCAAGAGGAAAGGAAGAUCUUGACCUAGAUAGAUGCCCCUUUCAUGUGUGGCCCCAGCAGCAGACAGCCCACUAAUGGAUUUCAUUUGAAAAAUGGCAUGCACUGGGCCAAUGCUACAUUUGACCUGCAGGAAGAAAAGAAACCACAACCAAGGGGAAUUAGGGGCUCUUCUACACAUGCACUAAAACCCAGAAGAAACCAGGACAAAGAGUGGUGUUUAAAAGGUGCACUUAAAACCUGAUUCAGUGCAUCUUGGAGAGAAUUUUAACAAAUAUCUUCCACUGGAUGUAUCCUGUCAUUCAUCUUGUGGAUUUGUAAAAUCCGCUACAAAGGAAGGUGUCAGGGUGGCAAGAGACCAUUUCCUGGGGCUAACAGGUCUGUGUCUGGACUUGCUGUUAAGGUCCCACGAUUUUUAAACCCACAUAUUUAAUUCAAAUUUUGAUGUUGUCUGGAAGUGUCCUAGGUCUGGUAUUGGGAGAGAUGGAAAGACAAAGGCAAUACCGACCACUCUUGCCACCUG
Anolis carolinensis (green anole) is the source of this 2057-nucleotide long non-coding RNA. NCBI's taxonomy places the organism in Eukaryota, Metazoa, Chordata, Lepidosauria, Squamata, Anolidae. The record is from Ensembl.